Molecule: long non-coding RNA, 157 nt
Organism: Dermochelys coriacea (leatherback sea turtle)
Lineage: Eukaryota; Metazoa; Chordata; Testudines; Dermochelyidae
Exons: 3
Source: RefSeq, a predicted model, not a curated record
AUCUGCAGGUUUUGCAUCUGUUGGUCUGGUGCUACUUUGAGUUGCUGUGUCCUUGUCUGUGGGAAGCCUGCUUCUGAUGAUGAGAUUGGGGGUUGUUUGAAGGCCAGAAGAGGGGGUUUGGGAAAGAUUUCUUUCGGGAUGGGGUCCCCACAGUAUG